Molecule: long non-coding RNA, 336 nt
Filed under: Gossypium barbadense (sea-island cotton)
Lineage: Eukaryota; Viridiplantae; Streptophyta; Magnoliopsida; Malvales; Malvaceae
Description: long non-coding RNA (GBAR_LNC000748)
Source: RNAcentral
CCAACCACCAAAAAAACAAGACGAAAGAUAUAAAGCAUUAUCACCCAGGAUAUUUUGAAAAAAGAAAUGAUAAAACAGAAAUCCAAUUAACAAGUUCAACCUCAACAACAUAGGUUUUGGGUUCUGACAUGUUCCCAGUCCAAAUCAGCUUAACACAAUCAAAUUUAACUUAAAUGAGAAUACAUAGGUCAUUGGUCACUGAAGAUCCUUAAAUUAUCAGGGCAUGCUUCUUUCAAGCUUUAAUAGUCACACUGCAUAGGCACAGACCAGAAAGCUUUAUUUCAGAAGUUUGCCAUUCUGAACCCGGGGCUGCAUUUGGAUCAUACAAAAGUGUGU